This 660-nucleotide small RNA is filed under the name Malus domestica (apple). RNAcentral describes it as "sRNA MD15G0356200". Lineage: Eukaryota; Viridiplantae; Streptophyta; Magnoliopsida; Rosales; Rosaceae. The record is from RNAcentral.
GGCCCACCACCACACCAUACUAUCUCCUCUGACUCUCCAGCCUUCCUUCACCACGCAGCCACCGCCACGCCACCGCUCUCUCUCUCUCGCGAUCUCUCUCUCUCGGGCGAUUUUCUCUCACAUCACAGAACUCUCGAUCCAGCACCAGCACCGAAUAGUGCAGCUACAGGUAAUGCUACCCAUUCUUUUUUUCUAUAUUUAUUUUUUGGGCUGAGGUUAUUUUACAUUGCUUGGAGAUCAUCAGAUUCUAAAUCUUCCCAGAAGAAAGAAAUUGAAGAAGCUCAUUGGUUUUCCCUUGAGUUAGCCAUGAAAGUACUAGGCAUUUACGAGAAGUGGGAAUAAUCUCAGAAUUCAGAGUUGUUCUGAAUUGACUGCCUGCAUUAUUCCUGAUGUCUGAUCACUUUUUAUAUCCUUUUGUCUUCAUCGCGUUUAUGAGCUUACAACAUGAAUUUUGUCCCUUUGCCAGUCUAUUUUGUUAUUUUUGCUGUCUAAAUUUGUUUCCAUGGUGUUGUAACUUGUAACUAAAAGGUUCAGAUACUACAAAAGUGCGAUUUCUUAUUAUCGAUGUGAUCAAGAUUUAAGUUGUUCUGUGUGUCAAUUAGGUACUUUCCACUGGACUUGGUAGGAUUGUGCCAAACUUGAUAUCAAGGAAGCAUACGA